AAAAUUACUACUGGCCAGGGACUGGAAAAUGAAUAGGGAGACUGGCAGAAACAGAGAAGAGCAUAAACAAAAGAAAGUGACUCAGGGCAGAGGGUGAUUUAGAACAGGGGCGAGGACAGCAGCUCAGGGCAGUCAGACAAAGGCUAUCGUUUCUGGUCAGCAGCUGUGAGGUGAAGAAGGGACCAGACCUCUUAAGUAGAGCCCCACCCUGGUCAGAACCUCUCUGCCGAGUCUACCAUCCUCACAUAGACGGCCUACCUGACUCUGAAGAGCCUUAGUCCUUCCCCCAGGUGCCCUGCGGCCCUCGCCUUCCCCUGGGACCCCCUGGACCCCUGACCAUCCUGGAGCAAGUGCUUCUCAGCCCUGAUGUCCCUGGAGACUGAGCUGAGAGGACACAUACUGAAGGACGGGAGCCCCAUUCCUCCCUAGAGCUGCCCACCUGUUUUUCUUAUUUUCUCAGUUUCACAUUAGUGUUUUUUCUGAUAAGUAUCCCCACACUCAUCACUCCUCCAGGCGACAGGACCGGAUCCUGAGGCAGCAGAUCAAACACUGGGGAGAGGGACCGUGUAUCGGAUGCAGUCCUGUCCCUGCAUCAUGAACAGCAGGCUUGUGAGGCCCUGAACUCUGGGGGAUGUUGGAGAUGACGAAGAAGAGGAGAAGGACCAAGAGGUUUUGCAGGGGGGAAAUCAGAGCUUCAUUCCAACGCGGAGAAGAGAGGGAAGGAGACUAAUAUCCAGGCUGAGCCUCUGGGCUGCCCGACCAAACACAGGAUUCUCCCCAGGAAGCUCUUAAGUCUGGAGGAAUACCUGCAAACUCCUUGGCGCUUCAGUAGAAAUGUUAAGGUGCCGUGGAGAGGGACUAUGAUGGAGACUAACUUCCUGGUGCCCAAGAGGCAGAAGCUUCAAAGCUCAUGCUUGGAAACUGCCUCACCUCGCUGUUCCCUGAGUCUCAGCGUAAUCUCCGUUCCAUCUUCUAAAGUCUGCUGAACACUUCUCAGCUUCAUUCAGCUCCUGCUGAGAUGUCCUGCCAGCAAAACCAGCAGCAGUGCCAGCCCCCUCCCAAGUGUGCCCCCAAAGGCCC
Molecule: long non-coding RNA, 1080 nt
Filed under: Physeter macrocephalus (sperm whale)
Lineage: Eukaryota; Metazoa; Chordata; Mammalia; Artiodactyla; Physeteridae
Description: Physeter catodon (sperm whale) lncRNA (ENSPCTG00005017164.1)
Source: RNAcentral